Small nuclear RNA from Erinaceus europaeus (western European hedgehog), 164 nucleotides. Its record names the gene U1. It matches the Rfam family "U1 spliceosomal RNA". From Rfam's summary of the family: U1 is a small nuclear RNA (snRNA) component of the spliceosome (involved in pre-mRNA splicing). The record is from Ensembl. Lineage: Eukaryota; Metazoa; Chordata; Mammalia; Eulipotyphla; Erinaceidae.
AUACUUACCUGGCAGGGAAGAUAACAUGAUCACGAAGAUGGUUUUCCCAGAGUGAGGCUUAUCCAUUUCACUCUGGAUGUGCUGACCUCUCUGAUUUCCCCAAAUGUGGGAAAUCCGACUGCAUAAUUUGUGGUAGUGGGGGACUGUGUUCAACCUCUCCCUUG